This 51-nucleotide non-coding RNA is filed under the name unclassified sequences. RNAcentral's name for it is "6A RNA". It matches the Rfam family "6A RNA". Rfam says of the family: Actinobacteria (1 example), Firmicutes, Fusobacteria. Terminator (Clostridia) The record is from Rfam by way of RNAcentral.
UGAUUUCGUUGUAGAGCGCAACGAACAAAAAAUAAAGAAAGCUCACGGAGA